Molecule: small nuclear RNA, 83 nt
Filed under: Macaca mulatta (Rhesus monkey)
Lineage: Eukaryota; Metazoa; Chordata; Mammalia; Primates; Cercopithecidae
Description: U4 spliceosomal RNA
Rfam family: U4 spliceosomal RNA
About the family: U4 small nuclear RNA (U4 snRNA) is a component of the major U2-dependent spliceosome.
Source: Rfam by way of RNAcentral
AUCUUUGCACAGUGGCAGUAUCGUAGCCAAUGAGGUUCUAUCUGAGGCGCGAUUAUUGCUAAUUGAAAAAAAAAAUACACACA